Molecule: ribosomal RNA, 471 nt
Filed under: uncultured bacterium
Lineage: Bacteria
Description: bacterial SSU rRNA
Rfam family: Bacterial small subunit ribosomal RNA
Source: RNAcentral
UGGGGAAUUGUUCGCAAUGGGCGCAAGCCUGACGACGCAACGCCGCGUGGAGGAUGAAGGUCUUCGGAUCGUAAACUUCUGUUGCCCGGGACGAAUAGCUUAGACCUAAUACGUCUGAGUAUGACGGUACCGGGUGAGGAAGCCCCGGCUAACUCUGUGCCAGCAGCCGCGGUAAUACAGAGGGGGCAAGCGUUGUUCGGAAUUACUGGGCGUAAAGGGCGCGUAGGCGGCCUGCUAAGUCGAACGUGAAAUCCCCGGGCUCAACCCGGGAACUGCGUCCGAUACUGGCAGGCUUGAAUUCGGGAGAGGGAUGCGGAAUUCCAGGUGUAGCGGUGAAAUGCGUAGAUAUCUGGAGGAACACCGGUGGCGAAGGCGGCAUCCUGGACCGGUAUUGACGCUGAGGCGCGAAAGCCAGGGGAGCAAACGGGAUUAGAUACCCAUGUAGUCCCUGAGCGGGCUGGCAAGGCGCAU